Non-coding RNA from Zootermopsis nevadensis, 2021 nucleotides. The record is from RefSeq and is a predicted model, not a curated record. Lineage: Eukaryota; Metazoa; Arthropoda; Insecta; Blattodea; Termopsidae.
AUUUGAAUUGAGCGCGCUCUGUUCGAACCGACAUCUCUGGUGACGCCAUAGAAAUAGUCUAGAGCUGUUAUGGCCGCCUAAUUUGUUGUUGUUUGUGUGCAUGUCUCUUCUAAGUUUUAAAGUUAACAGAUUGCACGGUGUGUACUGGUGGCAUCGUCCCCUGCUGUGGUGAUACCCUCACUGCUUGCACUUCAAUGAAAGGGUUAUGGUGAAGACAAAGGAAUUGCAACUUUAGUUAUAGCAGCAUCAAGUAUGGAUGGCAUUACAGUCAUUAGAGCCUUUGGCAUGUUUCUUGGACUCAUCUUUUAUGCAGAUUAAACAGCCCUCGAUAGCAAGGAAGCCACAUUUACCUUUUGAAGUAUUCAGAUUAUUGAAGGAACCGGAUAUUGAUACUGAUAAGCAACAACAUGAGGACGAGGAAGGAUACAGCUCUUCGAAUGCUUCGGAUGUCUCUUUCGAUGAAGAAUACUAACAUGAUAAUGCUCUGAGUUAAAUAUUUAUAUGUUGUGUAUUCGAAAGCAGACUAGCAUUUAUACUGUUUGUAUAUUUGUAGUGUAGUGAUAUUUGUUUCUACUAACUUAACUUGCAUGCAUUAUUUUCCCAUAUUUAGAGACAUAUUUCUCCAUUUUUACACAUAAAACUACUUAAUGUUUAUUAUAAACUAAUGUAUCACACUUUUUGCUGUCAGAAUUUUCGUUUUCAAUAUUCAGAUUAAAAAAAAUCAUAUUUCGAUUUUUUUCCAGCUAGAAUCGCAAUCUAUCCCACUGUGCUCUGGUAGCAUGCAAAUAAGUAUGCUUCUAUGUAAGUAUCAGCACUCAAAGUGUUAAUUAAGGCCUUCUGCCACGACUUAUUACCAUACUGAAUUUCACGUGCUGAGAUGCAGUGGUACAUGGAGUUGAACACCAUUUAAUAGUUCUAUGAGCAUCUAUCAUUCUUCUCUUGUACCCUGAACUAACACUUCCAUCUUUUAUGAUAUUGUUUUCCCAUUUGCAUAAAAAUUUAUAUUCAUAUUUCCCAAAAUUCUUCGCAUAGACUAUGAUGGUAUAAUUUAUAUUAUUUUCGUACAGGCUAAAUCCUCAUUUAUGCAUUUCCAUAGUGUUCAUGACUGCUGUGCUGGUACAUUUUGAAGUGUAACUUGCAAAGGCAAUGUGUUCGUUGUAUGUUUAAUGGAAAUAAGGCAGUUGGUUGAAAGAAGAAAGACAGGAAUAGACACACUUGAAUGCUACAUCAAUAACCCCAUUUUACUUACAGGGAAGGGAAAAUAUGAUGCAAGGGGAUUUAGAUGGGAAAAAAUUUCUUGUCUUAAGAAACACAAGAUGAAGGAGCCACAUGCUAAAUGUACUGUGUUGUAACUUUUUUGUAAUUGUAUAAUCUAACCUGGCAGACUCAUACAACUUGAUAUGGAAGUUGUUUGGUCUCACAGCUGGAACUAAACACAGUUCUUUGUGGUCUGUGUAUCUUGUCUGUGGGCCUUAUGGUCAGUAUGCUUAUUAUGUUGCGGUACUGGGAUUUUCUUGAGGAUAAUAUUUUUCAUGUGACUACAGAACUAUUAAUGAUAUUACUGUUAAUAUGAGGAAACAGCUAUCUGAUCAUCCACAUUUCAUUGGUGAAAUACUCUAUGGAUAUUAAUAUAUGGGAGAGAGGUCGAUAUUAAAUUUUUUCAGACAAAUGCAAUUUGGGUUUCUGUUCAUCUAAUAUAAUCCCAACUUUGCAUGAAGUUCAAACAGAAUUUUAUAAAUGAUCUAAAAAUGUUUCACCACAAAAAAAAUUGUACAUGACAAUUUUAGGGCUCAUUAACCCUUUAACAGCUAGUGGAAACCAUAUUAAGUGACUGCAUUUUACUCCCACACUGUAUUUAUGUUUUGUAUGAUUCUCAUAGUAAACAGUGUUUAUUUCCGUAACAUUAUUAAUACCCAAUUAAUUUUGUAAUGAAGAUGUGAUUUUGGACUGUAGAGGCUGAAUUUGUAUAUGAGGUGUGUUAAAAAAACCCAAAAAUUUUGCUAUAAAGACUUUAUUGCUAA